This 202-nucleotide ribosomal RNA is filed under the name uncultured bacterium. Its description in RNAcentral is "partial 16S ribosomal RNA". It matches the Rfam family "Bacterial small subunit ribosomal RNA", at positions 28 to 230 of the family's 1533-position model. The record is from RNAcentral.
GACGAACGCUGGCGGCGUGCUUAACACAUGCAAGUCGAGCGGUAAGGCCCUUUCGGGGGUACACGAGCGGCGAACGGGUGAGUAACACGUGGGUGACCUGCCCUUAGCUCUGGGAUAAGCCUGGGAAACUGGGUCUAAUACCGGAUAUGACUCCAUAACGCAUGUUGUGGGGUGGAAAGCCUUGUGCGGCUAGGGGAUGGGG